UUAUGAUUGAAUCUUCGGAUGAUUGACUAAGUGGAAAGCGGCGGACGGGUGAGUAACGCGUGGGUAACCUGCCCCAUACAAAGGGAUAGCCACUGGAAACGGUGAUUAAUACCAUAUGAGAUCGUAGAGUCGCAUGACUUAGCGGUUAAAGAUUUAUCGGUAUGGGAUGGACCCGCGUCUGAUUAGCUAGUUGGUAAGGUAACGGCUUACCAAGGCGACGAUCAGUAGCCGACCUGAGAGGGUGAUCGGCCACACUGGAACUGAGACACGGUCCAGACUCCUACGGGAGGCAGCAGUGGGGAAUAUUGCACAAUGGGCGCAAGCCUGAUGCAGCAACGCCGCGUGAGCGAUGAAGGCCUUCGGGUCGUAAAGCUCUGUCCUCAAGGAAGAAUAAAUGACGGUACUUGAGGAGGAAGCCCCCGGCUAACUACGUGCCAGCAGCCGCGGUAAUACGUAGGGGGCAAGCGUNAUCCGGAAUCACU
This 482-nucleotide ribosomal RNA is filed under the name uncultured bacterium. RNAcentral describes it as "bacterial SSU rRNA". It matches the Rfam family "Bacterial small subunit ribosomal RNA", at positions 69 to 555 of the family's 1533-position model. The record is from RNAcentral.